UACUCCUACGGGAGGCAGCAGUAGGGAAUCUUCCGCAAUGGACGAAAGUCUGACGGAGCAACGCCGCGUGAGUGAAGAAGGUUUUCGGAUCGUAAAACUCUGUUGUUAGGGAAGAACAAGUGCCGUUCGAAUAGGGCGGCACCUUGACGGUACCUAACCAGAAAGCCACGGCUAACUACGUGCCAGCAGCCGCGGUAAUGCAACA
Molecule: ribosomal RNA, 205 nt
Filed under: Bacillus sp. Hb-0701
Lineage: Bacteria; Bacillati; Bacillota; Bacilli; Caryophanales; Bacillaceae
Description: 16S ribosomal RNA
Rfam family: Bacterial small subunit ribosomal RNA
Source: RNAcentral